RNAcentral lists this ribosomal RNA (253 nucleotides) under uncultured bacterium. Its description in RNAcentral is "partial 16S ribosomal RNA". It matches the Rfam family "Bacterial small subunit ribosomal RNA", at positions 524 to 776 of the family's 1533-position model. The record is from RNAcentral.
GACGAACCGUGCGACCGUUGUUCGGAAUCACUGGGCUUAAAGGGCGCGUAGGCGGCUUGCCAAGUCAGUGGUGAAAUCCCACAGCUUAACUGUGGAAGUGCCUUUGAUACUGGCGAGCUCGAGGGAGGUAGGGGUAUGUGGAACUUCUGGUGGAGCGGCGAAAUGCGUUGAUAUCAGAAGGAACGCCGGUGGCGAAAGCGACGUACUGGACCUCUUCUGACGCUGAGGCGCGAAAGCUAGGGGAGCAAACGGG